This 253-nucleotide ribosomal RNA is filed under the name uncultured bacterium. Its description in RNAcentral is "partial 16S ribosomal RNA". It matches the Rfam family "Bacterial small subunit ribosomal RNA", at positions 524 to 776 of the family's 1533-position model. The record is from RNAcentral.
UACGGAGGGGGCUAGCGUUAUUCGGAAUUAUUGGGCGUAAAGGGCGCGUAGGCGGCCCGGUAAGUCAAAGGUGAAAUCCCUCGGCUCAACUGAGGAACUGCCUUUGAAACUGUCGGGCUUGAGGCCGGGAGGGGGUAGCGGAAUUCCCAGUGUAGCGGUGAAAUUCGUAGAUAUCGGGAGGAACACCAGUGGCGGAGGCGGCGAUCUGGGAAGAUACUGACGCUGAGGUGCGAAAGCGUGGGGAGCAAACAGG